CGGAUCGUAAAACUCUGUUGUUAGAGAAGAACGUCAGUGAGAGUGGAAAGUUCACUGAGUGACGGUAUCUAACCAGAAAGGGACGGCUAACUACGUGCCAGCAGCCGCGGUAA
Molecule: ribosomal RNA, 113 nt
Filed under: uncultured bacterium
Lineage: Bacteria
Description: partial 16S ribosomal RNA
Rfam family: Bacterial small subunit ribosomal RNA
Source: RNAcentral